RNAcentral lists this ribosomal RNA (489 nucleotides) under uncultured bacterium. RNAcentral's name for it is "partial 16S ribosomal RNA". It matches the Rfam family "Bacterial small subunit ribosomal RNA", at positions 899 to 1397 of the family's 1533-position model. The record is from RNAcentral.
ACUCAAAUGAAUUGACGGGGGCCCGCACAAGCGGCGGAGCGUGUGGUUUAAUUCGAUGCAACGCGAAGAACCUUACCAGGGUUUGACAUGCUGGAAGUAGAAACCCGAAAGGGGGACGACCCGUAAAAUCGGGGACCAGCACAGGUGCUGCAUGGCUGUCGUCAGCUCGUGCCGUGAGGUGUUGGGUUAAGUCCCGCAACGAGCGCAACCCUCGCCGUCAGUUAAAUUUCUCUGGCGGGACCGCUGGGAUAAACCCAGAGGAAGGUGGGGAUGACGUCAAGUCAGCAUGGCCCUUAUGUCCUGGGCUACACACACGCUACAAUGGACGGUACAAUGGGCAGCUAAGGUGUGAACCCCAGCUAAUCCCACAAAGCCGUCCCCAGUUCAGAUUGCAGGCUGCAACUCGCCUGCAUGAAGGCGGAGUCGCUAGUAACCGCAGGUCAGCACACUGCGGUGAAUACGUUCCCGGGCCUUGUACACACCGCCCGU